CCGUGAGCGGCCGGGGACCGACGGGCUGCCCCGGGGAACCGGAGUCCCGGGCUCACAGCUGCCCGUUCCGCGAGGACGCGCGGGGAAGCCGAGGGCGGCGGGGACCGCGCCGUUCUUUGUCUGCGCCGGCUGCUCCCCACGCCCCUCGGGGCCAGUCGCCCCGCGGUCCCCGCAGCCAGCGCUUGCUUGUGGCCCCGAACCCCGACGGUGCCCCGCGAGCGCGAGCCCUUUCCAGCCAGGCCUCGCGGUCCCGCCACUGCCCCCGCCCGGGUCCUUAAUUGCAGCCAGGCUGAAAGGGAGAUUGGGUGACAGUGGGAUUGCCACCUGGAGUGGUGCGGGGCCAGAUCGUCGGGCUUCUCCGCCGUGGGGAUUGUGUUGAGGGGACCCGACAGGCGAGCUUCGCCGGACUCUGCCUUUAUGCGUUGCUACCGGAUUCCUAGGACGGAGAUGGGGGCAGUAAAUUUUAGGACUGCGGGCAAGUGAAAGGAUCCAGAAGCACGUUUUUUAACCGAGCACCGCUGGCAGGAGCCCUGAGGCGCCCAGAGAAUGGAGAACAGGGCUGCCAGGUUCUAAUGCGUUUCUCCAGUCUCAGCACCAAGCCUUGCUUGUAAAGAAUCCAGGAAACGAGAAGAGAGGGAGAGUAGACUGUUGGGGAAGGAACCUGUUUCGCUACAUUGGUUCAGCAGAAAUGAAGAGGCGUCCUUACAUGUUGAAGGUGAUGUAAACCCAGGAAUCCCUAGAUAACAGAGCAUCCAGCCCACCCAGCACUUUAAUACUUCUGCUCACUUCAGCAGUCCUUAGAUUUCCUCUUUGGUGAGCAUGUGGGGCGUGGAACAGGAGAUAAAGCUUUGGUCCCAGGUGGGAAGGAUGAUAGGGCGGUGCUACUCAAACUGGCUUUGCAGAUCAGGUCACACACACUAGUGCUGGCCCAGAGAUAUGUAGAGAAUGGGGUGUUAGAAACUUUCAUGUUAACUCCCAAGUGGUGUUCUGUGUUUAUAGUAAUUCAUCUUAAUUAUAUGGUAUGAAAGUGUCUGUCAGUGACAGAGCACACAAACUUCACAAGGCAUGAGGAUGUACAUACGUAAAGCUGUGACCCAUCCCAAAAUCUCUAGACCCUCAGUAGAAGAAUGAACUAGAAAAAGCAUGGUUUUCUGCAUUGAUCUUGAUCUCCACAGAGAGUAGAGACUCUAAGGAACUGUCUCCCUCACAUUUAAAACAAUAGUUUAAGAAGUUCUGGCUCCCAUCACACUUUCAUUUCACUGGAAAGGUCUUAAGCCAAGAAUUUGUUUCCUGUGUUUAAAGGGCCCCUGCAUACCUUAAAGUGUCCCUACCCAACUUGCAGAAAUGAGUCCAAAGCAUUUACAGGAAGGGAAAGAGCAGAAACUCCAGGACAGGCUUCAACACCUGUUCACAAUAAUAAUAAUAAUAAUAAUAAUAAUAAUAAUAAAAAAAGCCACUGAGAGCAAGACCCAAUGAAUGAUUACAAGCAGUAGACAACCAGAACCAGGCCAACAAAGGCCUCUGGUAUUGGCAUUAUCAGCUAUCGAUAUAAGGUAAUAAAGUUAGAAAAAAUUAAGUAACAUUUUAAAAAACAGAACUAAGAACAUAGGGACCAUCUGGAAUGACCAGGUAGUCUCAAAGUGAAAAAAAAAAAAAUACAGUAAGUAAAAAUUUCACUCUUAAGGACAAGGGCAUCUGCCUCUAUGGGCUACUAACUGGCUCUUCAUAUAAAGCAACUAGAUCCAGCAUAAAAUGUAAUUUUAUAGGAUCACUAGGUUUAAAGAAUGUAAAGAAGACCUGAGUUUUAAACAGAAAGAAAACUCCUCAUUGUGCACUUUGCAGGACCCUAAGCAAAAUGUGUCAUUCUGUGUUCUGAGUCUGGGAAGCCAGUUCCUUUAAGUCAUUGCUGUAUUUACUGGAACCACGUGAGAGAAAGCCCAAAGAGCGUAUACACGAGGACUUUCUAAAUAUGUGGAAAGUCAGUACCAGGCAGCCGGCCCUGCUGGCACAUCAGAAGAGGACAGUAAGCUUUUCAAUACAUGUGCCAAGGCUAUGGGUUAUCUACAGAAAACAGUAAAAUCACACCUGUGUUUUCCCACAGGUCUGUGUUCAUAAACUUCUUACAUAUCUCAGAGAACCUAGAAACAGGUUCACAUGACAAUACACUUCGGUCAAAUUGGAGAAAUAAGUAAGACAUUUUGAUAGCAACUACCCCUCUCUGUCUUUUCUUAACUCCUUCAUCACAUUUAUUUUAUUUAUUUUUUUAUUAAGCUGACUGUCACGAGAUCUUUUUUGGGUGUAACUAAAUAGAAGUUGACUUGGAGAAUAAUCAUGUUUUAGUUUAGUGGAUAUUUGGGCGGUUUGCAUUAAAUUUGUGGUUGCUUACACUGUUAACAAAUGACUUCAAGGAAGGCUCUUGAUGUCCACUGUUGACCUAACUGAAGUCUCGACAUGUAGGGUCAGAUGAGGGUUACAGUGUUGGAAUGGAUCUUUCGAGCCUAGCUCCAGGAGUAUGCGGACUGUGGAGGAGGCGACUAGGUAGGAAGUUCUGCACCAAAGCUAAUCAGCCGGAAGUAGUUCACCUUUCCUUUUGACACUUCCAAAUGUGGUUCAGCAUUAUGACAAAUCCGUAUAACUCUGCCAUUUUGAGGAUGGUACAGUAGGAACCAGGAUAACCUAAGCACAUAGGGAGUUCCAAGCAGGCCUGGCUUAUGGCAGUUGUCUCAAGACAAUGACAACAAAGCUAUGCCAAGGUGUUCUCUGUCAGGAAAACAUGAAAUCAUCUGUUUUUAUUAAGUUACAGAUACCUUGUAUUUUUAUAUAUAAUCUGAAAUGUGUAAUUUAACUCAAAUAGAACAGCUGUAUAGCAGAAGUCCCUACUAUCUAUCAUUCAACUGGCAUAGGUAAUAUUCUAUAAGUGGAGUCUCCUGUUUCAUGACCUCAAAUCUUAUGGGUCACAUAAACAGUGCCCCUGACUCACAUUUUUCUGAUAGUUACAGAAAAUGGCUCACAAAACCGAUAAUAAUGUAAGAAAAAUUAAAGAAAAAGUAUUCAGAUGACAAAUUUUCCAACAUGCUCCUUGGUAGGACGGGUGCAAUAUUAGCUUGUAUCAUUUUGUGAUUUCUAUUUGACUAGGAAACAAUGACUUUUCUAAACACUUCAUAUAAUCAAAAUCAUUAACCUUUUUAGGUUUGUGUUUAGCUUCUUUUGCUUAGCACAGCAUUUUGAAGUUCAUUUAUGUUGUAGAGAAUGUCAGUAAUUAGUUUGGGAGUUUUAGUUUGUUUUCUGGUGCUAGAGGUAAAACAUGGGGCCUCACAGAUCCUGUGAGCGUAUGUGCAAGUGUCUGAGCACUGAGCCACAUCCCAAGGUCAGGUUUAUUUUAUUGCUAAAGUAGUAUCUUAAUGUAUGGUGUAUCAUUCAUGGCUUGUUGUGACGGACACUGUAAGGAAUAUUUCCUUUAAACAAAAUAUACAAAGUUAGUAAUCAAGACCAUCAAAACUAUGAUGAGCUUAGCCUGUGUUUUAUGUUCCCCGCAUCCUCGUAGUACACAGUAUGGAAGCGCCUGUGAUCUCUCCUCAUAAUGGUGGCACAGUAAUGUGGUUAGUGGGCAGCCUUAUAACUACAGGAAAUGCCUCAGCCUAAGCCCAAUUCUCAGCCUGUGAAGAACUUGUGUAGAACAUUAUGAAGUUAGUGAGGAUGAAGAGCUGCUCAGAAGAACUCCUCUCACAAAGGUAAUGUUUCGCUUAAAAAGCAAGCUCAAGAUAAGAAAAUAGACACUUCAAACUUAAACAAUAACUACUUGUUAUUUAAGCACUCACAGGUAGACAGUGGAAUAAGAAAAAAGUAUGAGAAUGACAAUUACUUGUAGGAAGGAGAAAGAUAUUUUUAAUAUUUUAUUUAAGUAUAUACUGUAGCAAUAUAUGUUUUAAAUAGGUUAGAUGGGUAGGUCUGCUGGUAUUUGUUGUUAUAUGUUGUUUUGUAUAUUGUAUAUUAUACAUGUAAUGCUUCUAAUAUAUUUUCAUACACAUACACUAUUUCAUAAUAGUAAAUUAUUAUAAUUAAUUAACCCUCAAAUUGUGUAAAAAAGAAUUCUAUUUCCUCUUAAAUGUUAAUUGUAUGUUAAAACUAUUAGUGAACAUGUCUGAAAUACUAAACUAUAGUUAAACUAUGGAAUGAAAGCUGAAACGGAAAGUAUGUGACAUUGUCUCUAACAUUUUUCUUUUCAAAUAAGUUGAAUUUUCUCAAGGAAGAUUGGUGAAAUUUUAAAGCUGCCUUAAAAUUCUUUUAGAGAUAUUUAAUAUUUCUAAAUUGUUUGAUUGGUGAAAAUUUAAAGCUACCUUCAAAUUCUUUUAGAGAUAUCUAAUACCUCUAAAUUAUUUUCUUUUACUGUUCAAUUAACUUGAGCUCCUUUGGAAUUCUCACAGACAUCAUUGCCAGGUAACUUUUUCAAUUCUGUACAGUCUUAUUUGUAAAUCAGAACUGACAAAACUUU
Molecule: long non-coding RNA, 4492 nt
Organism: Mastomys coucha (southern multimammate mouse)
Lineage: Eukaryota; Metazoa; Chordata; Mammalia; Rodentia; Muridae
Exons: 3
Source: RefSeq, a predicted model, not a curated record